Molecule: long non-coding RNA, 1629 nt
Organism: Athalia rosae (coleseed sawfly)
Lineage: Eukaryota; Metazoa; Arthropoda; Insecta; Hymenoptera; Athaliidae
Exons: 3
Source: RefSeq, a predicted model, not a curated record
GUAUGUAAUCGGUGGUAGCGCGAUCUCACACUGACGCACCGACGUUUCGGAGCAGAAUAAAGCCGUCUCGGGUAUCUCCUCGAGAACAUUUCGGAGCAGUGGUCGGCCGACGAGAAUCGGAGUGGAGGAGGAGGAGGAAGAAAGAAACGAGUGAGGGAAGAAAAAAUGUGAAAAAAAUUCUUCAAAAAAUUAAUUUAAAUUAAAUCGAAUUGGAACUGAACACAGGUACCACGUAAUAGCCACGUAUAACGUGCAGUCGUCGCACUGCUGCUCCCUAAGGGUUACCUAUACGGAGUAUAAGGUGCAUAUCUCAUAUAUUUUUACUAUAGAUAUAUAUAUACGAGGGUAUAUAACCCUGUAGACGUAUACGUUGCGCAUAUAAUACCUUUCGCACACAUUCGUACCGUGGGUACCAGACGACACGUACGUUCGUACACCCAUGUAUGUAUACCUACGUACGUAUGUACAUGGCGCAUGUAUCUCAUGCUAUUGCGCAACUCAACAAUUUCUGUCGGGCGCACUUUAUGUAAUGUUAUUACAUAUCAUGUGUGCGUAUAUUCCAGUGCAAUAAUUUCACGACCUAAAAUACCGUGAAGUCAAAUGUACGAUACGGUGCAGCGAAAGGGUUUUUCGACCCUUGUGUUAUCGAGAAUUGAAACAGGUCGAUAAAAAAAUUGAGAAAAAUGCAUCGCAAAUUUUUAAUCCAGAGUUAAAUCGUAUCGUCGGAUAUACGAGGAAUAAAUUUCCCCAUGUAUUGUACGCUGUUACUAUAUCUAUAUUAGCUGCGCAGCGGCAUAAGUGUGUUUUCAGUCCAUAUGCGUAUAUGUCACUCGAUAUAUACGUUGGUAUACAUACCAACGUAUAAAUCGCCUUGCAUAAGACGACUGCAUCGACGGAUCGAUAACUCGGUCUGGCUGUCGAGGUGGGCAACGCUACUUCUCCGGUUAUAAUAGCCGACGGCGGUGCAGCAUAGUAAAAUAGAUGCGGGGAAACUAUGCGGGGGUGGUGCGGGGCGGAACAUGCACCUAUACACAGGUAUACGUGCUCGCGUACGUACAUACAGCUAUGCACGGCAGCUAGGCCGUCUAUGGAUUUUUCUAAGGGGAAGAAUGAAAGAGGCAAGAAAAAAGAAAGAAAAGCGAAGAGAAAAAGGUAAUCCGUCUCACGUACGGAACAGAUGCGAUCCCGGACCGACCGAAGGGUCGCUCGAGCCGCAGAGCCGGCCAACUACAGGGUGUAUUAUAAUAGUGCAGUCUGCGCAGUAUUUCAAAUCACAACUAUUCACACGAAAUGCAAGUGAAUUACAUAAUACUUGACAGUGAAUGCACAGUUACCCGUAAAUUGGAGCAAAUUAAUGGCCGAAGGUCGUACCACCUGGCAACGUUCUUAUGCUAUAAAUCCAUACGAUAUUAUACGUGGAAAAUAAUUCAAGCGUGCACGAAACUGCAGCAAUUCCCGAACAGAAUAUCGUGUACCAAAUUAUCAUACUAUCGAUAUUACAGUAAGCCAAUUAUGCUCAGUCACGAUAAAUUAAUUGUCACUAUUCGUCUGAUCGUAACCUCGUAUGCGGUCUGUAUUACACGAACAAUUGCGUAUAUGAUCGCAAUUAUUUACAGACGAUCGAGCAGA